AGAACGAACGCUGGCGGCAUGCCUAAUACAUGCAAGUCGAACGAACACUUCGGUGUUAGUGGCGCACGGGUGCGUAACGCGUGGGAAUCUGCCCUUUGGUUCGGAAUAACAGUUGGAAACGACUGCUAAUACCGGAUGAUAUCGAAAGAUCAAAGAUUUAUCGCCCAGGGAUGAGCCCGCGUAGGAUUAGCUAGUUGGUGAGGUAAUGGCUCACCAAGGCGACGAUCCGUAGCUGGUCUGAGAGGAUGAUCAGCCACACUGGAACUGAGACACGGUCCAGACUCCGUACGGGACGGCAGCGAGGUGGGAAUAGUUGGACAAGU
RNAcentral lists this ribosomal RNA (323 nucleotides) under uncultured soil bacterium. RNAcentral describes it as "bacterial SSU rRNA". It matches the Rfam family "Bacterial small subunit ribosomal RNA", at positions 26 to 373 of the family's 1533-position model. The record is from RNAcentral.